Molecule: ribosomal RNA, 121 nt
Filed under: Pteropus alecto (black flying fox)
Lineage: Eukaryota; Metazoa; Chordata; Mammalia; Chiroptera; Pteropodidae
Source: RNAcentral
GUCUAUGGCCAUGCUACCCUGAACAAGCCUGACCCCAUUUGAUCUAGGAAGCUAAGCAGGGCUGGGCCUGGUUAGUACUUUAAUGGGAGACCCCACCAAGGAAGGCCAGGUGCUGUAGGCA